Molecule: long non-coding RNA, 414 nt
Organism: Helianthus annuus (common sunflower)
Lineage: Eukaryota; Viridiplantae; Streptophyta; Magnoliopsida; Asterales; Asteraceae
Exons: 3
Source: RefSeq, a predicted model, not a curated record
ACCUAGGGCAGGAGAAAACAAGGGUUUUCCUUGUUCUUGCAAAAACUCACCAAUUGACAAGGAGAAAUCAAGAUUUAUUUACUGCAUGUUCUAAAAUUUCAGCCAUCUAAGCAUAUCUAGUGGAAUGGUGUGAAGGAAGAAGGUUCGAAUUCUAAGAAGCCGGAAGGAUCACAAGACCGAGGUAAAUCCUCGACUUAGGCGAUUGGACGGCUUGGAACGUGCACACUUGGUUUACGCCCGCCUCACGCUUCCGUUAUUAAAUCUUUUGGAAUGGGAUAAGUCUUGGUCAUAUGUAUUUAAGUCUAUAUAGUAUGUUGACAUCUUUGUCGUAGGGUAAAACUUGAUAGUUGAAGUCAUGUCGUGUCCAAUGUGGACUUUGUUUGUUUUGGGUUUUUGUCAAGGAUGUUUAAUGUU